This 252-nucleotide ribosomal RNA is filed under the name uncultured bacterium. Its description in RNAcentral is "partial 16S ribosomal RNA". It matches the Rfam family "Bacterial small subunit ribosomal RNA", at positions 525 to 776 of the family's 1533-position model. The record is from RNAcentral.
ACGAACCGUCCAAACGUUAUUCGGUAUCACUGGGCUUAAAGAGUUCGUAGGCGGCCGGGUAGGUCAGGUGUGAAAUCCCACAGCUCAACUGUGGAACUGCGCUUGAAACCACACGGCUCGAGGGGGAUAGAGGUGAGCGGAACAGAUGGUGGAGCGGUGAAAUGCGUUGAUAUCAUCUGGAACACCGGUGGCGAAAGCGGCUCACUGGAUCCCUUCUGACGCUGAGGAACGAAAGCUAGGGUAGCGAACGGG